This 253-nucleotide ribosomal RNA is filed under the name uncultured bacterium. RNAcentral describes it as "partial 16S ribosomal RNA". It matches the Rfam family "Bacterial small subunit ribosomal RNA", at positions 524 to 776 of the family's 1533-position model. The record is from RNAcentral.
UACGGGGGGGGCAAGCGUUGUUCGGAAUUACUGGGCGUAAAGGGCUCGUAGGUGGCCAAUUAAGUCAGACGUGAAAUCCCCAGGCUCAACCUGGGAACUGCGUCCGAUACUGGAUGGCUUGAAUCCGGGAAAGGGAUGCAGAAUUCCAGGUGUAGCGGUGAAAUGCGUAGAUAUCAAGAGGAACACCUGAGGUGAAGACGGGUUGCUGGGCUGACACUGACGCUGAGGCGCGAAAGCUAGGGUAGCAAACGGG